CCUACGGGUGGCUGCAGUGGGGAAUUUUGGACAAUGGGCGCAAGCCUGAUCCAGCCAUUCCGCGUGAGUGAAGAAGGCCUUCGGGUUGUAAAGCUCUUUCGCAAGGGAAGAAAACUUAUCCUCUAACAUAGGAUGAGGUUGACGGUACCUUGAUAAGAAGCACCGGCUAACUACGUGCCAGCAGCCGCGGUAAUACGUACGGAACGAGCGUUAAUCGGGCGUACGGGGGCUAAUUUGUGAGCCGGAUGUGAAAUCCCCGAGCUCAACUUGGGAACUGCGUUUGAAACUACAAGACUAGAAUAGGUCAGAGGGGGGUAGAAUUCCACGUGUAGCAGUGAAAUGCGUAGAGAUGUGGAGGAAUAUCAAUGGCGAAGGCAGCCCCCUGGGAUCAUAUUGACGCUCAUGCACGAAAGCGUGGGGAGCAAACAGGAUUAGAUACCCCUGUAGUC
This 449-nucleotide ribosomal RNA is filed under the name uncultured bacterium. Its description in RNAcentral is "partial 16S ribosomal RNA". It matches the Rfam family "Bacterial small subunit ribosomal RNA", at positions 338 to 795 of the family's 1533-position model. The record is from RNAcentral.